Molecule: small nucleolar RNA, 140 nt
Organism: Varanus komodoensis (Komodo dragon)
Lineage: Eukaryota; Metazoa; Chordata; Lepidosauria; Squamata; Varanidae
Source: Ensembl
AUGCAUUCUCAAACCCUCCUGGUACUGUUAAUAUUGUAACUUCCAGGAUAAGGAUGAAUGCAAAAGAAAAAUGUAGAGUUAUCCAAAAUGCUGAACAUGCUAACAUUGUUCUGCAUUAUUUCACCUCUUCAACAAGGACU